AUGAUGGGGUCUUCUAAAUAUACAAUCAUGUCAUCUGCAAACAGGGACAAUUUGACUUCCUCUUUUCCUAAUUGGAUACCCUUUAUUUCUUUCUCUUGCCUGACUUCCCUGGCCAGAACUUCCAACCCUAUGUUGAAUAGGAGUGGUGAGAGAGGGCAUCCUUGUCUUGUGCUGGUUUUCAAAGGGAAUGCUUCCAGUUUUGGCCCGUUCAGUAUGAUGUUGGCUGUGGGUUUGUCAUAAAUAGCUCUUAUUAUUUUGAGAUACAUUCCAUCAAUACCUAGUUUAUUGAGAGUUUUUAUCAUGAAGGGCUGUUGAAUUUUGUCUAAGGCCUUUUCUACAUCGAUUGAGAUAAUCAUGUGGUUUUUGUCGUUGGUUCCGUUUAUGUGAUGGAUUACAUUUAUUGAUUUGUGUAUGUUUUUUAAAAAAGCUCAGAAAGUGUCUGGGGAUGUUGAAACAGAUGCUUGGUCACUUGCCUUGAUUUGCAUGGGGCUGAAACAGGAACGAGAAUUCAGUCCAGAGACAGGGUUCAGAGCUGUCAGAAGAACUGAAGUAAUUUGAGGUGGGUCCUGAAGCUAGAUGAGAAACAGGCUAUGAGACCUUGGAGAGAAAAUCACCAUGAGGGAGAGAAGAGAACAGCAAAGCGGUCUGACUGAGCAGGGAGCACACCUGCACUCACCAAGGCUGUAAACCCAUGAGGGCAGAAACUGGGUCUUCUUUUUAUUGGUAUCCCCAAAAUGCACCGAAAUGUCUGGGCACCAGUACAUGCUAAGAAGUGUUACAGAUGAUCAUGAAGGAGGUGUCUAUUGGGAGCCCUGCUGUGGUCUGCUCCAGAACAAAUGCUCUGUCCUUGACACCAGUACAAACAGCAGCCUCCCCUGCCACCUGUCAGUGAACCACCGCCAAAGCAUAAUUGUACCGGGAUGUCGUGAGAGGAAGCCUGAUUUAAACAAGGCCCUGGCAGAGUUGGGGGGCCAGCAGCGCCUUCUCAUACCUGUUAAUGAAGCCUCAUUAGAAACAGCAAGAGCCUGUGCUGGGAACUGGAAGCACCAGUCUGCCAUGGCUCUCCCUGCCAAAGGGUGAUUAACUGAAUGAUUUACGGCAGCUGCUCUUGGAGAUGAUGGUGUGGAGGAGACCGAGCGUGUGCAACCCUGCACAGUGUGCUGUCUGGUGGAAACUCAGGAGUAUGCGCAGAUUCCUUCUCCCCUCUUUCCAGCGGCCGAAACGACUUCCAGGUUCUAAAAACUGCAUGGCCAUUCAGUCAUAGAAGUACCUCCCUUUGAUAGCUGACCUUUCGGGGACUCUCACCUUUGAAGCCUCCAGCUACCUUUAGGUUAGGAAUUUAGGUCUUGCCUGAGGGGCCAAAAAUUAAUAGUAACGAGAAAGAAAGCAAAGAAACAGACCUCAGUGUCUUGUGCAUCCAACAUAGCAAGGCCAGCCACACACUUUGUUUUCUGGCAGGACUCUUGUAUCCAGGUGGUUCAAUUAUGGGCAGCCCCAUAGUGUGCAGCUAUGGAGGAGAUGGAUACUUUGCUAAAAUGUAGUUUUAGGGCGUCUUGCCUAUUUCCAUGUCUCGAACAACAAACUGACCUAUGUCAAGGUUCUAUGCACAUUGUAAAUAGCUGUUCUGCUCAUGUGAUCUUUAAUACAAUUCCUUUGCUCCUGUAGGCCAAAAAGGAAAACCAGUUGUAGCAAUUCCAACAAGGAUACCACAUAUCUUGCCUUUUUUUUUUCUUUUUUGAGACAGUCUUGCUCUGUUGCCUAGGU
Molecule: non-coding RNA, 1764 nt
Organism: Macaca mulatta (Rhesus monkey)
Lineage: Eukaryota; Metazoa; Chordata; Mammalia; Primates; Cercopithecidae
Source: RefSeq, a predicted model, not a curated record